UACGGAAGGCAGCAGUGGGGAAUAUUGCACAAUGGGCGAAAGCCUGAUGCAGCUAUGCCGCGUGUAUGAAGAAGGCCUUAGGGUUGUAAAGUACUUUCAUCGGGGAGGAAAAACAAAACUAAUAAUUUUAUUUCUUGACGUUACCCGAAAAAGAAGCACCGGCUAACUCCGUGCCAGCAGCCGCGGUAAUACGGAGGGUGCUAGCGUUAAUCAGAAUUACUGGGCGUAAAGAGCACGUAGGUGGUUUUUUAAGUCAGAUGUGAAAUCCCUGGGCUUAACCUAGGAACUGCAUUUUGAAACUGAAAUACUAGAGUAUCGUAGAGGGAGGUAGAAUUCUAGGUGUAGCGGUGAAAUGCGUAGAUAUCUGGAGGAAUACCUGUGGCGAAAGCGGCCUCCUAAACGAAUACUGACACUGAGGGUGCGAAAAGCGUGGGGAGCAAAACAGGGAUUAGAUACC
RNAcentral lists this ribosomal RNA (457 nucleotides) under uncultured bacterium. Its description in RNAcentral is "bacterial SSU rRNA". It matches the Rfam family "Bacterial small subunit ribosomal RNA", at positions 340 to 786 of the family's 1533-position model. The record is from RNAcentral.